This 218-nucleotide ribosomal RNA is filed under the name uncultured bacterium. RNAcentral's name for it is "partial 16S ribosomal RNA". It matches the Rfam family "Bacterial small subunit ribosomal RNA", at positions 328 to 539 of the family's 1533-position model. The record is from RNAcentral.
ACGCUCGACACCUACGGGAGGCAGCAGUGAGGAAUAUUGGUCAAUGGGCGCUAGCCUGAACCAGCCAAGUAGCGUGAAGGAUGAAGGCUCUAUGGGUCGUAAACUUCUUUUAUAUAAGAAUAAAGUGCAGUAUGUAUACUGUUUUGUAUGUAUUAUAUGAAUAAGGAUCGGCUAACUCCGUGCCAGUAGCCGCGGUAAUCUGAGCGGGCUGGCAAGGC